Small nuclear RNA from Gracilinanus agilis (Agile Gracile Mouse Opossum), 103 nucleotides. NCBI's taxonomy places the organism in Eukaryota, Metazoa, Chordata, Mammalia, Didelphimorphia, Didelphidae. The record is from RefSeq and is a predicted model, not a curated record.
UUGCUAUGGGAGUACAUACACUAAAACUGGAACAGCAUAGAGAAUAUUAUCAUGGUCACUGAAUUAGGAUGACACUUAAAUUCAUGAAGUAUUCCAUUAAACG